AUCGAUGAAGAACGCAGCGAAAUGCGAUAAGUAAUGUGAAUUGCAGAAUUCAGUGAAUCAUCGAAUCUUUGAACGCACAUUGCGCCCCCUGGUAUUCCGGCGGGCAUGCCUAUUCGAGCGUCAUUUCUAUCCUCAAGCUCCGCUUGGUAUUGGGAGGCAAGCCUCRUCCCCUCGGGGAGAGGCUCCCCCGAAAAUUAGCGGCGGAUCGGUYGGGGUCCCAGCGCAGUGACUAUUUUUUUCUCGCUGAUUGGAUCCUCGGGCGGCUCCUGCCGGGCUAAAAACCCAUUAUUWYUUUCAAGAUUGACCUCGGAUUAGGUAGGGAUACCCGCUGAACUUAAGCAUAUCAAUAAGCGGAGGAAAAGAAACCAACAGGGAUUGCCUUAGUAACGGCGAGUGAAGCGGCAACAGCUCAAAUUUGAAAUCUGACUCCUUUUGGCGUCCGAAUUGUAAUUUGUAGAGGGCAUCUCGGGGGCGAUACCGGUCUAAGUUCCUUGGAACAGGGCGUCAUAGAGGGUGAGAAUCCCGUACGUGACCGGCCGUCAAUCCCAUGUGAGGUCCCUUCGACGAGUCGAGUUGUUUGGGAAUGCAGCUCAAAAUGGGUGGUAAAUUUCAUCUAAAGCUAAAUAUUGGCCAGAGACCGAUAGCGCACAAGUAGAGUGAUCGAAAGAUGAAAAGCACUUUGGAAAGAGAGUUAAAAAGUAUGUGAAAUUGUUGAAAGGGAAGCGCUUGCAGCCAGACUUGGUCGCAGUCAAUCAACCUUCCCUCGGGGAGGUGCACUUUUCUGCGUUCCAGGCCAGCAUCGGUUUCGGCGGUCGGACAAAAGCCCUGGGAAUGUGGCUCCCCUCGGGGAGUGUUAUAGCCCGGGGUGCAAUGCGGCCUGCCUGGACCGAGGACCGCGCUUUUUGCUAGGAUGCUGGCGUAAUGGCUGUCAGCGACCCGUCUUGAAACACGG
Molecule: ribosomal RNA, 952 nt
Filed under: uncultured Ascomycota
Lineage: Eukaryota; Fungi; Ascomycota
Description: eukaryotic LSU rRNA
Rfam family: Eukaryotic large subunit ribosomal RNA (bases 302-952)
Source: RNAcentral